RNAcentral lists this long non-coding RNA (431 nucleotides) under Salmo salar (Atlantic salmon). RNAcentral describes it as "lncRNA (ENSSSAG00000095230.1)". Lineage: Eukaryota; Metazoa; Chordata; Actinopteri; Salmoniformes; Salmonidae. The record is from RNAcentral.
GCUAUAUACAGGGUGUUACGGUACAGAGUCAAUGUGGAGGCUAUAUACAGGGGGUACCGGUACAGAGUCAAUGUGGAGACUAUAUACAGGGGGGUAGCAGUACAGAGUCAAUGUGGAGGCUAUAUACAGGAGGUACCGGUACAGAGUCAAUGUGGAGGCUAUAUACAGGGUGUUACGGUACAGAGUCAAUGUGGAGGCUAUAUACAGGGGGUACCGGUACAGAGUCAAUGUGGAGGCUAUGUACAGGGGGGUACCGGUACAGAGUCAAUGUGGAGGCACCGGUACAGAGUCAAGUCUGAGUAGCCAUUUGAUUCAUUGUUCAGCAGUCUUAUGGCUUGGGGGUAGAAGCUGUUUAGAAGCAUCUUGGUCCUAGACUUGGCUCUCCGGUACCGCUUGCCGUGUGGUAGCAGAGAGUACAGUCUGUGACUAGG